GACGAACGCUGGCGGCGUGGAUAAGACAUGCAAGUCGAACGGGAGUUUAUUUAUAGCAAUAUGAGUGAACUCUAGUGGCGAAAGGGUGCGUAACACGUAGCUACCUACCUCGAAGUUGGGGAUAGCUCGGCGAAAGCCGGAUUAAUACCGAAUGUGAUCGUGAGAUCAAAGCUGGGGAUCGUAAGACCUGGCGCUUUGAGAUGGGGCUGCGGCCUAUCAGGUAGUUGGCGGGGUAAGUA
RNAcentral lists this ribosomal RNA (239 nucleotides) under uncultured bacterium. Its description in RNAcentral is "partial 16S ribosomal RNA". It matches the Rfam family "Bacterial small subunit ribosomal RNA", at positions 28 to 263 of the family's 1533-position model. The record is from RNAcentral.